ACGCCUCUGGUGUAACGGCAGCAUUACCGGUUCCAACCCGGUGGAUCAGGGUUCAAAUCCUUGGGGGCGUGC
RNAcentral lists this transfer RNA (72 nucleotides) under Gimesia alba. Its description in RNAcentral is "Planctomycetes bacterium Pan241w tRNA-Trp". It matches the Rfam family "tRNA". Rfam says of the family: Transfer RNA (tRNA) molecules are approximately 80 nucleotides in length. Their secondary structure includes four short double-helical elements and three loops (D, anti-codon, and T loops). Further hydrogen bonds mediate the characteristic L-shaped molecular structure. tRNAs have two regions of fundamental functional importance: the anti-codon, which is responsible for specific mRNA codon recognition, and the 3' end, to which the tRNAs corresponding amino acid is attached (by aminoacyl-tRNA synthetases). tRNAs cope with the degeneracy of the genetic code in two manners: having more than one tRNA (with a specific anti-codon) for a particular amino acid; and 'wobble' base-pairing, i.e. permitting non-standard base-pairing at the 3rd anti-codon position. Lineage: Bacteria; Pseudomonadati; Planctomycetota; Planctomycetia; Planctomycetales; Planctomycetaceae. The record is from RNAcentral.